This is a long non-coding RNA of Sinocyclocheilus anshuiensis, 405 nucleotides long. RefSeq lists it as uncharacterized. The transcript has 3 exons. The record is from RefSeq and is a predicted model, not a curated record. Lineage: Eukaryota; Metazoa; Chordata; Actinopteri; Cypriniformes; Cyprinidae.
AUUUUACAGAGGUUUUUGUUGCUGCAACACGGUAGUUUGUUUGGUGUGUUUUGCUGUUCUCGCCUCCUGACGCAUUAAUUCAGCGUGUUUUCCAGCAGAUCAUUGAGAGAUCUCAGGUCUAGAAGACGACAGCUCAAGUGUACUGCUUGCUGACUGCUGUUUUAUUAUGUCUGUCCGGAUGCUUGAGCACAACAGAUGCUACUCGAAGUAAAGCCUCAGCAAAGCCAGGAGAGUGUCCACCCGAAAAACCUGUGGGAGGAUCAUGUGCCAGGUCCUGUACUGGUGACUCUGACUGUCCAGACAAUGAGAAGUGCUGCAGCAAUGGACGUGGACAUCGCUGUACGGCUCCAUAUACAGUGAAGCCUGGUCGGUGUCCCACACCAAAGAAGAUUCCAGCGUGUGCUU